AGCUCAGCGGUUAAGAGCACUGGUUGCUCUUCCAGAGAACCUGGGUUCAAUUCCCAG
Molecule: transfer RNA, 57 nt
Filed under: Rattus norvegicus (Norway rat)
Lineage: Eukaryota; Metazoa; Chordata; Mammalia; Rodentia; Muridae
Rfam family: tRNA
About the family: Transfer RNA (tRNA) molecules are approximately 80 nucleotides in length. Their secondary structure includes four short double-helical elements and three loops (D, anti-codon, and T loops).
Source: Rfam by way of RNAcentral